CCUGGUUGAUCCUACCAGUAGUCAUAUGCUUGUCUUAAAGAUUAAGCCAUGCAUGUGUAAGUAUGAACUAAUUCAGACUGUGAAACUACGAAUGGCUCAUUAAAUCAGUUAUAGUUUGUUUGAUAGUAUCUACUACUUGGAUAAUCGUAGUAAUUCUAGAGCUAAUACGUGCAACAAACCCCGACUCUGGAAGGGAUGCAUUUAUUAGAUAAAAGGUUGACGCAGGCUAUGCCUGUUGCUCUGAUGAUUCAUGAUAACUCGAUGGAUCACACGACCUUUGUGCCGGUGAUGCAUCAUUCAAAUUUUUGUCCUAUCAACUUUCGAUGGUAGGAUAGUGGCCUACUAUGGUUGUGACGGAUGAUGGAGAAUUAGGGUUUGAUUUUGGAGAGGGAGCCUGAGAAAUGGCUACCACAUCUAAGGAAGGCAGCAGGCGCGUAAAUUACCUAAUCCUGACACGGGGAGGUAGUGACAAUAAAUAACAAUACCGGGCUCUCUGAGUCUGGUAAUUGGAAUGAGUACAAUCUAAAUCCCUUAACGAGGAUCCAUUGAAGGGUAAGUCUGGUGCCAGCAGCCGCGGUAAUUCCAGCUCCAAUAGCGUAUAUUUAAGUUGUUGCAGUUAAAGCUCAUAGUUGGAACUAGGGUCAUCCGGUCUGCCUUAUGGUGAGCACUGGUCUACUCAUCCCUACUGUCGAUGAUGCACUCCUGGACUUAAUUGCCCAGGUCGUUCUUCCAACACUGUUACUUUGAAAAAAUUAGAGUGUUCAAAGUAGGCCUACGCUUGUAUACAUUAGCAUGGGAUAACAUCAUAGGAUUUCGGUCCUAUUGUGUUAGCCUUCAGGAUCGGAGUAAUGAUUAACAGGGACAGUCGAGGGCAUUCUUAUUUCAUAGUCAGAGGUGAAACUCUUGGAUUUAUGAAAGACAAACAACUGUGAAAGCAUUCGCCAAGGAUGUUUUCAUUAAUCAAGAAUGAAAGUUGGGGGCUCAAAAAUGAUCAGAUACCGUCCUAGUCUCAACCAUAAAUGAUGUCGACCAGGAAUCGAUGCAUGUUAAUUUUAGGACUCCACCGGCACCUUAUAAGAAAUCAAAGUCUUUGGGUUUUGGAGGGAGUAUGGUCGCAAGGCUAAAACUUAAAGGAAUUGACGGAAGGGCACCGCCAGGAGUGGAGCCUACAGCUUAGUUUGACUCAACACGGGGAAACUUACCAGGUCCAGACAUAGUAAGGAUUGACAGACUGAGAGCUUUUUCUUGAUUCUAUAGGUGGUGGUGCAUGGCCGUUCUUAAUUGGUGGAGCGAUUUGUCUGGUUAAUUCCGUUAACGAAUGAGACCUCAACCUGCUAACUAGCUACGCGGAGGUGAUCCUUCGUGGCUAGGUUCUUAGAGGGACUAUGGCCACUUAGGCCAAGGAAGUUUGAGGCAAUAACAGGUCUGUGAUGCCCUUAGAUGUUCUAGGCUACACACGCGCUAUGCUAAUGUAUUCAACGAGUCUAUAGCCUUAGCCGACAAGCCUGGGUAAUCUUUAAAAUUUCAUCACGAUGGGGAUAGAUCAUUGCAAUUGUUGGUCUUCAACAAGGAAUUCCUAGUAAGCGUGAGUCAUCAGCUCACGUUGACUACGUCCCUACCUUUUGUACACACCGCCCGUCGCUCUUACAGAUUGAAUGGUCUAUUGAAGUGUUUGGAUCGCGGUGACGUGGAUGGUCCACCGCCCGUUACGUUGCCAGAAGUCCACUGAACCUUAUCAUUUAGAGGAAAGAGAAGUCGUAAUAAGGUUUCUGUAGGUGAACCUCCAGAAG
Molecule: ribosomal RNA, 1790 nt
Filed under: Durio zibethinus
Lineage: Eukaryota; Viridiplantae; Streptophyta; Magnoliopsida; Malvales; Malvaceae
Description: SSU rRNA
Rfam family: Eukaryotic small subunit ribosomal RNA
Source: RNAcentral